UACGUAGGGUGCGAGCGUUGUCCGGAAUUAUUGGGCGUAAAGCGCACGUAGGCGGUUUGUUAAGUCGGAUGUGAAAUCCCUCGGCUCAACUGAGGAAGUGCAUCCGAAACUGGCAAGCUUGAGUACGAAAGAGGGUCGCGGAAUUCCCGGUGCAGAGGUGAAAUUCGUAGAUAUCGGGAGGAACACCGGUGGCGAAGGCGGCGACCUGGGUCGAUACUGACGCUGAGGUGCGAAAGCGUGGGGAGCAAACAGG
RNAcentral lists this ribosomal RNA (253 nucleotides) under uncultured bacterium. RNAcentral's name for it is "partial 16S ribosomal RNA". It matches the Rfam family "Bacterial small subunit ribosomal RNA", at positions 524 to 776 of the family's 1533-position model. The record is from RNAcentral.